This 253-nucleotide ribosomal RNA is filed under the name uncultured bacterium. RNAcentral's name for it is "partial 16S ribosomal RNA". It matches the Rfam family "Bacterial small subunit ribosomal RNA", at positions 524 to 776 of the family's 1533-position model. The record is from RNAcentral.
UACGGGGGGGGCAAGCGUUGUUCGGAAUUACUGGGCGUAAAGGGCUCGUAGGUGGCCAAUUAAGUCAGGCGUGAAAUCCCCAGGCUCAACUUGGGAACUGCGUCUGAUACUGGUUGGCUUGAAUUCGGGAGAGGGAUGCAGAAUUCCAGGUGUAGCGGUGAAAUGCGUAGAUAUCUGGAGGAAUACCGGUGGCGAAGGCGGAUCUCUGGGCCAUUACUGACGCUGAGGAGCGAAAGCGUGGGGAGCAAACAGG